GACGAACGCUGGUGGCGUGCUUAACACAUGCAAGUCGAACGGGAUUUAGUAAACAGACGCCUCGGUGGAAGAUUACUAAUGAGAGUGGCGAACGGGUGAGUAACGCGUGAGCAACCUGCCUAUGACAGUGGGAUAGCCUCGGGAAACCGGGAUUAAUACCGCAUAAAAUCGUAGAAACACAUGUUUUAACGGUCAAAGAUUUAUCGGUCAUAGAUGGGCUCGCGUCUGAUUAGCUAGUUGGUGAGAUAACAGCCCACCAAGGCGACGAUCAGUAGCCGGUCUGAGAGGAUGAACGGCCACAUUGGAACUGAGACACGGUGCAAACUCCUACGGGAGGCAGCAGUGGGGAAUAUUGCACAAUGGGGGAAACCCUGAUGCAGCGACGCCGCGUGAACGAAGAAGGUAUUCGUAUCGUAAAGUUCUGUCCUAUGGGAAGAUAAUGACAGUACCAUAGAAGAAAGCUCCGGCUAAAUACGUG
This 478-nucleotide ribosomal RNA is filed under the name uncultured bacterium. RNAcentral's name for it is "partial 16S ribosomal RNA". It matches the Rfam family "Bacterial small subunit ribosomal RNA", at positions 28 to 507 of the family's 1533-position model. The record is from RNAcentral.